GCGAGCUGCUCGGAGGAAGUACGAAAGAAGAACUGCUGCCUUCAAACUAAAUAGGAAAGUUACAAAUCAUUCAGUAUGCAUGGUCACAGUUGGGCUGGAACCCAUCCCAGCUGUCACAGGGCAAGAGGCAGGGCGCACACCCAGACAGAUCCAGCCCAUCACUGGUCUGAUGCAGAGCGGAGACAGCCAUUCAAGCUCACACCUACAGCCAAGUUAGAAUCACCAGUUAACCUUACCCCAAUCAUGUCUUUGGACUGUGGGAGGAAGUUGGAGCACCUGGUGAGAACCCAGGCAAUACAUGGAGAGCAUGCAGACUCCACACAUGAGAUUCAAACCCAUGACCUUGAUGUUAUGGUGCCAUCAAAUGCACCACAGUUUUUCCAAAAUUUCCACAAUUGGAGCACACACAAGAGGUUUAGUUAUUUCCAUAGAGUUUCAUUUGGAUUCAGGUCAGGUGAUUGGCUGCGUCAUUUUAGCAGCUUUAUUUUCUUUCUCUGAAACCAUUUGAGUUUCCCUGAUGGUGUGUUUGGGAUCAUCAUCUUGCUAAAACACCCCCCCCCCGCCUUGUUUCAUCUCCAUCAUCCUUGUAGAUGAAGCAGAUUUUUAAUCAAGAAUGUCUCACUAUAUUUUAACCAUUCAUUCUUCCUUCAAUUAUAUGAAGUGUGCCAGUACCAUAUGCUGAGAAACCACCCCACACCAUGAUGUUCCCACCUCCAAACUUCAUUGUUUGUAUGGUGUUGUUGAGGUGAUAAGCAGUGUCUUUUGACCUCCAGACAUGGUGUGUAUUAUGGCAUAUGAAGAGUUCAAUUUUUGUCUCAUCUGACCAGACUAUUCUCCCAGUAUUUCACAGGCUCAUUUAACAGAUGUUCAACAAAUUUUAAAUGCGCUUCAGCAAGCUUUUUCUUCAGCAAUGGAGUCUUGUGUGGUGAGCGUGAAUACAGGCCAUGACGGUUGAGUAGAUUACUUAUUUUCUUUGAAACACUUGCUGAUUCCGGUUUUUCUGUACCUUUCUUUGCAUUCAAUACUUUUUCCCUGUUUGAAAUGUUACCAACAUCUGGUAAGAAUUUCAUGUCAAUAGCACCUUUAGAAUUAUUAUUAUUAUUAUUUCUUAACUGAAAUCGGUGAUGCUUUCAAUACUUAUUUUACCUGCUGUGUCUAUUUGGGAAUCCAGCCAUUUGCUGAGCAUAAACAGGUGCUCAUGUCCUUUCUGGAGGUUCAAACUGCAAAAUUUAAGACUUAUUUAUUGGCAUGAAUGAACUGAGCCACAAUCAGCAGGAUUUCUGCAUUAUACAGAUUGGAUGGAGCCCACCAUUUUUCCUAAAACAGAACUGAAGCAUUUUAUGAGAACAUGUCGUGUGUUCGAAGAGGUCAUGUGCAGGUGUUAUUUAGUACCAUCGUGUACUCUGUUGGUACAGUGUUGAUGUAUUUGCCCUGUGAAGAACAAAGCCUGAGGCGUGUGCAGUCCAAGCGUGUGAAUGCUUGCAUGUGAAAACGUGUUGAGCGUGUUAUAUAUUAGUGAGUGCAUGUGUGGCGUGGUGUGCAGCUGACAGUGAGAGCAGUAAAAAUUUAACCUCCACUGCUGGUAGACGAGCUCCACAGCAGCACCUUAUUAGUUUCUUAAAACUGUCUCACGCAGAGGGAGGGCGCUUUUCAUUACACGAGAUUAAAUCACAUCAAAUGCCUCAGCAGCAUGUCCUCCAGCCAAAAGCCACCCCCCUUUAAAAAUAGACAAACGCACUUCAGAAAAGAUUUACUCGUCUUGUUUGGUGGCGGUUUGACAACAUGUUCUAUGUUCCAGCCGCACGGCCGGGAUGUCACAGCGUGUGGGAGUGAGAGAACACGCGGGGCGAAUGUCUUUGGACGUUGCCCUUUUUCCUGAUUCCACACCCACCUCCUUUUCACCAGCUCCCGACAUGUUCUGAAGCAGAGCUGCUUUGCACCCGUCACGGCCGAUAACGGGCGAAGACUGGCUGAAUGUGGCACCGCGGGAUCCGCAGUGACAGCCGAGGUAGGAAGAGGGAGACUGUCGACGACAUCUUGCUUGGAGUAAAAAAACCCCCCACAAAAAACAAAACCCAGCAUGAUACCAAUUUAGCAGCAGAAAACAUUAAAUCUAUUGUGAUUUCUCUUCUACUACUAGAGCUGUUGCACAAGAGAAGCUUAAAAAAAAAGAGAAUAUUGUUGAAUAUACUGUUCAUAAAUUAUGUUUAUUUUCAUACAUUAUGUUUUAUGUUCAUUCCAUAAGCAAAUUUAAAUCUUCUUCUGGGAGCAAGAAUUUGUCUUGAGGAAGGAAACCCUGCACGCCUGGAGCACCAUGAGUUUUGUAUAGUCUUAUAUGUACAAUUACAUACACUCAGUACUGUUUUUGCUUACAGUAAGCAAUACUGUACAUAACCCACGCAUA
Molecule: long non-coding RNA, 2404 nt
Organism: Oreochromis niloticus (Nile tilapia)
Lineage: Eukaryota; Metazoa; Chordata; Actinopteri; Cichliformes; Cichlidae
Exons: 2
Source: RefSeq, a predicted model, not a curated record